RNAcentral lists this long non-coding RNA (612 nucleotides) under Oryza sativa Indica Group (long-grained rice). RNAcentral's name for it is "lncRNA OsMH63_03G008240". The record is from RNAcentral. Lineage: Eukaryota; Viridiplantae; Streptophyta; Magnoliopsida; Poales; Poaceae.
AACUGCAAAAUAGCAAAGCUGAAAGAAAAUCUCCCGUCUCGGCUCCUCCGCUCCUUGCGCCAUCUUGCGGCUGAACAGGGGAGGCGGCGAGCAGAGCAGGGGAGAGGAGGGGAUCCUGCAGCUAUGGACUCAGUGGUGUUGGAGUGUGGCGACAUCUCCGCUUCCCAGGAAGAACUCCUUGCCCACUCCUCAUUCCUCAAUGGUGGUGAUGAUGGUGAGGUCUUCAGCACACCUCCCACAACUCAAGAGGACGCCAUCACCAUGUGCACCCUCCCCUUCACCCAGUCCCAGUCCCCAGCACCAGCACCAUUGCCAUCACCAGCAGCCGUGUCGCGCACCACCCCUGGAUGCAGCUCCUCAGAGGACAACCGAGACGAUGAGAUGAGCGAUAUUGUCAAGCAGCGGCGCAGGCCUAGGGUUUGCACAAGAAAGGUGAGGUGGGGUGCCAAGAUCAGGACCCCAACCCCAAGCCCAGAUCGCACCACCUCUGAAGUGGAGAACAAGGAUGGUGAUCCUCUGUACAAGGCAGUUCUCAUGAUUCCCACAAGGGAUAGCACUCCUGCCAUUCCUAUGGACCUGAUCGCGCUUGCUCACCAGCGAGGCCUCUUCUAG